RNAcentral lists this ribosomal RNA (497 nucleotides) under uncultured bacterium. Its description in RNAcentral is "partial 16S ribosomal RNA". It matches the Rfam family "Bacterial small subunit ribosomal RNA", at positions 28 to 507 of the family's 1533-position model. The record is from RNAcentral.
GAUGAACGCUGGCGGCGUGCCUAAUACAUGCAAGUCGAGCGAACAGACGAGGAGCUUGCUCCUCUGACGUUAGCGGCGGACGGGUGAGUAACACGUGGAUAACCUACCUAUAAGACUGGGAUAACUUCGGGAAACCGGAGCUAAUACCGGAUAAUAUAUUGAACCGCAUGGUUCAAUAGUGAAAGACGGUUUUGCUGUCACUUAUAGAUGGAUCCGCGCCGCAUUAGCUAGUUGGUAAGGUAACGGCUUACCAAGGCAACGAUGCGUAGCCGACCUGAGAGGGUGAUCGGCCACACUGGAACUGAGACACGGUCCAGACUCCUACGGGAGGCAGCAGUAGGGAAUCUUCCGCAUAGGGCGAAAGCCUGACGGAGCAACGCCGCGUGAGUGAUGAAGGUCUUCGGAUCGUAAAACUCUGUUAUUAGGGAAGAACAAAUGUGUAAGUAACUAUGCACGUCUUGACGGUACCUAAUCAGAAAGCCACGGCUAACUACGUG